Molecule: long non-coding RNA, 230 nt
Organism: Ahaetulla prasina
Lineage: Eukaryota; Metazoa; Chordata; Lepidosauria; Squamata; Colubridae
Exons: 3
Source: RefSeq, a predicted model, not a curated record
AAAUCACAUGCAUAAAUGGCUGACUUGGUUGUUUACAGCUUUCAGCAUCAAUCUGAACAUACACUGAACUUUAAAAGGUUCCUUCAAGUGAAUCCAAGAAAAGUGCUCUUCCCGAUUCUGAAAAUGUUUGGUGACUUUGAUAUUACAGUUUGAUCUCUUCAGUAUUCAGUAAGAAUACCUGAUGUACUAGCUUCAGGGCAACUUCUUCAUUAUCCUUCACAUACUUUUCC